UACGUAGGUGGCAAGCGUUGUCCGGACUGACUGGGCGUAAAGCGCGCGCAGGCGGUCAGAGGCGUCGGUGCUCAAAGUCCACCGCUUAACGGUGGGAGGCGUGCCGAUACGCUCUGACUGGAGGGCGGGCGAGGGUGGUGGAAUUGCCGGUGUAGUGGUGAAAUGCGUAGAGAUGUGGAGGAACACCAGUGGCGAAGGCGGCGCUCUGGAACAUUUCUGACGCUGAGGCUCGAAAGCGUGGGGAGCAAACAGG
Molecule: ribosomal RNA, 253 nt
Filed under: uncultured bacterium
Lineage: Bacteria
Description: partial 16S ribosomal RNA
Rfam family: Bacterial small subunit ribosomal RNA
Source: RNAcentral